RNAcentral lists this ribosomal RNA (392 nucleotides) under uncultured bacterium. Its description in RNAcentral is "bacterial SSU rRNA". It matches the Rfam family "Bacterial small subunit ribosomal RNA", at positions 362 to 771 of the family's 1533-position model. The record is from RNAcentral.
UAUUGCACAAUGGGCGGAAGCCUGAUGCAGCGACGCCGCGUGAGUGAAGAAGUAUCUCGGUAUGUAAAGCCCUAUCAGCAGGGAAGAAAAUGACGGUACCUGACUAAGAAGCCCCGGCUAACUACGUGCCAGCAGCCGCGGUCAUACGUAGGGGGCAAGCGUUCUCCGGAUUUACUGGGUGUAAAGGGAGCGUAGACGGCAGCGCAAGUCUGGAGUGAAAUGCCGGGGCUCAACCCCGGAACUGCUUUGGAAACUGUGCAGCUCGAGUGCAGGAGAGGUAAGCGGAAUUCCUAGUGUAGCGGUGAAAUGCGUAGAUAUUAGGAGGAACACCAGUGGCGAAGGCGGCUUACUGGACUGUAACUGACGUUGAGGCUCGAAAGCGUGGGGAGCAA